Long non-coding RNA from Oryzias melastigma (Indian medaka), 1546 nucleotides. RefSeq lists it as uncharacterized. The record is from RefSeq and is a predicted model, not a curated record. NCBI's taxonomy places the organism in Eukaryota, Metazoa, Chordata, Actinopteri, Beloniformes, Adrianichthyidae. The transcript has 4 exons.
CCUGACUCCGCCCCCCCGGGCGGCCCUGACAGAGCCUUCAUUCUGGGAAUUCACCGCCUCGACAUUAAAGAUAAUAGGAAUGCACACUGGCUUUUUCCAGUAACGCAGAUUUCCCUCGAUCCUGUUUGGAAAAACACUGUGCUCCGUGUGUUCUACCUUCAAACAGAUGGAUCUGCAAUGCAGAACUCGCCAUGGAAAUGAAAUCUCUGCUUCAGAUGUUGCAUGGAGACUUUCUAAGAAGACAGAAAUCGGCUUCUCAAAUGUCAGCAUUUCCAGGUUUAUUUUUCCUCCUGUUUUUAAGGGACGUCCCAGUAGUUAAUAGUUAAUGACAAAACAUUUCCGUUUUAAUUUAGACUUUGGACUAAAGUUGCGAGUUCUUGUGUAUAAACACAUUUUAGGGCCUUUUUUUUAUGGUGUUGACAUUUUCUCAUUUUAAAACGUUGAUUUUGCUGUUUUUCUAUUUACUUUUAUUUAGAUUUCAUUCAUGUUACAGCCUCCUGAGUCAGACUGAAGUCACUUAGCCUUAUAAUUUAAAGCUGUUUGGCAAAGCUCAGGUCAUAAAUGUGGAAAUACAAAGAAUAAUGUAAUUAAACCUUGAAGGUUUUAAGAGCUGCUGAUCAUUCAAAUGAAGAUAAAUCUAUCUUUGUGGUCUUCUAAUUCCGAGAUAAAUCCAUCCAGAUGAAUCAGGGCCUCGGGGCUUUGCAAAGGCUUGCUUGUGAGCAUACUGCUUGGGAUGGACCUCGUCGUACAGAAAUUCCUCCGUCAGCUCGUCUCCAUCGUCUAUCUCCAGCUGCAAACCAAGACCCCAAAAAGAAAGAUAAAUAAAUAAAUAAAACAUGGCUGGGAUGCAGGUGUACAAAAUUCAAAUCAACAGUCUGCUGGAGAAUCUAAUAAAAGCGUUUGCCCAUAAAUUGCUCUGACAUUUACUAGUCAGAUUGUGGUUGCACAAGUUUCACAUGGGCUGUUACCAGGAUUUUAGGAGUCCAAAUCAGCUUAGUUCUACCCCACAUUUUUCAGCUCUUUCAGGGUUUUUUUUCUGCCUUUGUUAACAGAUUUGUCACAGAUUCUGGAAGUCAUUAUGUCUUAAGCCUUUGCAUGCAGCCAGGAUAGAAACAUAUUAAAAAAAAACACUAGAUUUAGAAAAGAAGGAGAUAUAAAUGCAAAAACAAAAGCAAUCCAUCUGGAAUAUUCCUAAACUGUUUACCAUAUGUUAGAAAAAGUACACACAGCAUGACCCGAGUGUCCUCAGUGAUAAACUACUAUCAUAUAUAUAUAUAUUAAACUGUAUUAUCUAAUGUUCUUUUCCAUCCGCUUAUCCAUCUGUUACCUUUUUAGAUAUUUCCAGCUGGUAAUCCUUCUCCACUUCCUCCAGUAGCCGACUCUUGCAGCUGGAAUAAAGCAUCCGCUCCUUAAUGCUGCAGCUGUAUCCUGGCAUGGAGUAUAUGAACACUAGAGAGGAGGGAGCAUUAUUAUUGGAAUUAGGAAAACACAUUUAGAAACAAACUCAUUUGCAGAUGACGGAAGAAUAAUAAAAAAAUAAAAAAAA